This 497-nucleotide ribosomal RNA is filed under the name uncultured bacterium. RNAcentral's name for it is "partial 16S ribosomal RNA". It matches the Rfam family "Bacterial small subunit ribosomal RNA", at positions 28 to 507 of the family's 1533-position model. The record is from RNAcentral.
GAUGAACGCUGGCGGCGUGCCUAAUACAUGCAAGUCGAGCGAACGGACGAGAAGCUUGCUUCUCUGAUGUUAGCGGCGGACGGGUGAGUAACGCGUGGAUAACCUACCUAUAAGACUGGGAUAACUUCGGGAAACCGGAGCUAAUACCGGAUAAUAUUUUGAGCCGCAUGGUUCAAAAGUGAAAGACGGUCUUGCUGUCACUUAUAGAUGGAUCCGCGCUGCAUUAGCUAGUUGGUAAGGUAACGGCUUACCAAGGCAACGAUGCAUAGCCGACCUGAGAGGGUGAUCGGCCACACUGGAACUGAGACACGGUCCAGACUCCUACGGGAGGCAGCAGUAGGGAAUCUUCCGCAAUGGGCGAAAGCCUGACGGAGCAACGCCGCGUGAGUGAUGAAGGUCUUCGGAUCGUAAAACUCUGUUAUUAGGGAAGAACAUAUGUGUAAGUAACUGUGCACAUCUUGACGGUACCUAAUCAGAAAGCCACGGCUAACUACGUG